GACUGCAUCAGAGUCCCCUUAUUGGUUUGAAAUUCCAUUAAAUAUAUUGCAAGAGCUCCUAGGUUAAGCUUGAUUUAAAUUUGCAUACAUUUUCAUAUAUUUAGCAGAAAUAAAAGAAGGCUUGCAGCUACCAGAAAGUCAUUAAGGCAUUAGUUUCUCUGAGAAGACAGAUCUGAAGAAAAUUCAAGAAAAUGAGAAAAUAGAUCUAAAUAAGGUGGAGUUGAAUACAAUGUGAUUAACUACAAGCAAUGUUGUGAAGAUGAUGGUAUUCAGACACAUACCCAAACAAUUUGAUUCAGAUAAAUUGGAUACAAGACUUUGACCAGCAUGAGAAGAACAGGUGGCUGAAGUGCUCCAAAGGGAAGAGUUUGGAGAUGGGAACCACCUCCGGGACUCUCCGUACCCGUGAAGCUGCCAGGGGAGUGAGGAGCUCCAGGGAUACCCAAGGCACUGUGCAAGCAGGGAGCAUCCCAGACCUGUGGAGGAGCUCAGCAGGAGAAGAAUCAGUGGGGGAAAAUAGUCCUAAUGCUGUGUUGCUGGUGGUGGGUCAGGCAGUUUGAACAGAGGUCUGUGGUGCUCCAGCUCGUUGGGAACUUUUGUGCUCAGGCCAGGAGGAUGCUGCAGAUGGAGCUGAUCUGUGAAUUUCAAAUCUGUGCCUCCACCAGUGUUGACACGGUGCAAUGAUGCAGCCGAGCUCUCAGAUGUCUGGCUCGAAGAGUUGUGAAAUGAUCAAGCAGACAAACCCAACCAUUUCAGCCUUGUCAAUCUAGUUCUCAGUGGACAGAUGCCCUGGUGCUGGAAAAGCAGCAUGCCCUGCAACACCUCUUGGCAGUGUGGAAAAAGAGCCAGAGAUGUCCCAGACACGAAGUACGACCGGAUUCUCAGCUCAAAAAAUCAGGCUAAGAAUUUGCCAAGGGCAUCAACAGCAGUUUUCCCAGGCUUCAGCACAAGGAUUAUAUAGUCAAUCCACAAAUGACUCCAAUCUUUGAAGAAAAGGACAUGGUUAUCAGAGAGGCUUUGACGACAGCAAGGACCGGAGCACAAUCUGCCUUUUUCCAUCAGAGAUUCCCAUUCCCUCUCAUUAACAUACUCAGGACAUCAGCACAGCCAUCAGUCCCAGGGGAAUCACCUCACACUUCUCAGGGAAUAUGCACAGGACCUGGCCCUGUGUUAUUUCAAACAGAUCAAACCAGAUGUGCCUUGUGAAAGGUUUGGAGAAAGGCUGGGGCCCAGCAGCAUCAGGGGAGGGAUUCACAGGUUGCAGGGAGUUUUCAAAUCCAUUGUUACAUCUUGGUAAUCUUUCUUAUUUCCCAGGGUUUUUCAGUCCCACUGAGGAUGCAGAGCUGCUCUGUGAUAUCUGCUGCUGCUGUAAGUGUGAAAGGUGGUGCCUCUACCUGCUCCUUCCCAGCGCCCUGUGAUGAAAAAUGCCUUUGGAGGAACACUGGAAACAAGCCAUCAAAAUAUCUGAUUAAACCUCUUAGGAAACUCUCACUAAUCACCUUCUCUGCUCUUGAUGGAGUGUAUUUAUGCAUUAUAAAUAUACUUACUAUGUGUGUGUGCUCCAUAAAUCACAUCCAGCACUUGUAUAUGAUGUAUAAGCACAUUCUAUAGAACACACGCAAAUACAGAUGCCAAACUCCCACAGAGUUCAUCACUGGAAAAAUGUUUGAAGGAUCUGAUCCUUAAUAUUUAAUGAGCAAGAUGCUAUUUCCUUCCUCAGCUUUUAUCUCUGGUUUGGCAUAGUCAUUAAACUCGUUGUUUCCUUGCAGGAUUAUAUAAUUUAUGACCUAAUUUUAGACUUUUGCGUAACCGCGUUGAAACGCUCGUGGCGGAUCCGGAUUUCUCUGCACGGAGCGUUCCAGCAUCAGACACCAGCUCAAACAUGACUCCUGUGAGCUGCCCAUCAGCAAGGAGUUAGAGGCAUUAAAGGCAAACAGCCCAACAAUAUUCAGACAGCAUUACAGGAUUAGACGGUGGGGUUUUUUUCCCUGUAAAAAUCUGAUUUAGCAGCACUUCCCAAGCCGUGCGCAGCGGCCGCCAGGAAUCCCCAGGUACCGCAGUCAGCACCCAGCAACUCCAAUUACUGACUUUCAGACCCCUCUGGGAUAAAUUCAUUGUAGGGAGGGCUGGAGGAGGUGGGGAAGCAGGUGAAGAACGACUUUAAAGCCACUGCCAGCCCCUCGCCCUCUGGAAUUUCCCCUCAGCACCAGCCUGGCUGCUGGGCUGAUUUUUUGCUGCACAAGGUGUUGCCAGAUAACCCCUAAAUGAAUUAUUCUGAAGCUGUAGCCACAUUUUUUUGUGUGUCUUCUGUGUGUCCAGGGUAAUUCAGUGGUGCUGUAAAGAGUACUGUGAGCUGCAGGUAUUUUGUCAAUUGAAACCACAUUGUUUGGACCAGUCUUUCAUCAAAUUUAAUCUAUUGCCUAUUGCAUUAAUGCAUUUUGAGAGCACUUUAUUCUGGUGUCCCAUAGGGAAGUGGCUUGUGGUGGAGGAGGGUUUAGAAGCUUCCUUUGUGCCUGCAGUGCAGUUAUGAGGAAUUUUUCCUGGUUUUCUACCUUACCCUGGGAUAUCCAACACGGAUGACAGAGCUGAGAUGCUGCAUCCUCAGAGCAGCACCUUGGAGCUGUAGGAACCAUGUCCCUGCAGCCCAACACCUCCCUCUAACACAACAACCUAAUGCACAGGGUGAGGUGGGUGCCCACAUGAAAGAAAAAGCAUCCUUAGGAAAAGCUGAUAUUAUUUCUCGGAUUAAGAAGGAUCGGAGAGUGUCUCUGUUUGGCUUUAAUGGAGCAGUUCCAGGAAAGCAGCAGCGACCAAAGUAUUUUCAGUAGCACAUAAUUCAAGAGCAAAAUCAUAAUUCCAAUUACCAUUUCAGGCACUCCUGGCCUUGGGAAACCUAUGCUAAUAUUUAUUAUUAUAUUAUUGACCUCUGAUUUCUUCAUCAUUUACAUUAGCCACUCUGAUAUUCUUAGUAACAUCCUUUAAAUCAUAUAAGCAGGUGUCAACAGUGCACGAUGAAGUCACAUCCCGCAGCUUUUUUAUUUACUUAGUCCAUUUUUUUCCUGGCAAAAUAACAGUGUGAGUUGCAUAAUCUCACCUCCAUGGGGCCUCUAGGGGGGUAUAUAAUCACAGAAUGCAUUUUCUAUAAUCUCCCAAUAUGAGUCAAUCCUAUCAGAGGUACAAACAGUUGUACAAAGUCAGUGUUUCGCUCCCAUCACUGCCUGACAUCAUCUUCCACAUAACACAAGAAAAUAUUUACUUAGCUCUUUGACAUUAAUUGCCACAAAGCCUUUGAAACAAAAAAAUUGUGGAAAGCGAGGAACUGAAAUGGAAUAAUUUGAUUUAAUGAAUUUAGCCCAUUUUCUGUGUGCAGGAAUUAGAUUCAGAUGCUUUUUUAUAAUGUCUGGGAUGGCCAAGGACACCUCGAAUCUCUGUUCUUCAGUGAGGUCCCCAGGCACAAAUCAGAGUUACCCAGAAAAGCUGGAAGCUGAUCCUUUUCUCCAUUGUUUUCUUUGCAUAAGUGACCAUUUCUCUGGGGGAAUCAAGACACUGCAUUUAUUUUCCAGGUGCAGGUGAGGUGCCAAAAGCAGCCUGAGGCUUCUCAUUGCCUUCAGCAGAGUUGAGAAAAUUAUAUUUAUCCACAAAAAGACUACAAUUUUUUUUUCCAGAUUGUUCUUGUGAUGUGUCAAAAAGUUUUAAUUCUCUGUUUGUCUCCUGUACCCACUGCUCAUCUUCCUACCUCGGUGCAGCUCCUGCUGUUCCCCUCCAGAGAGCACAGCCACGGGCUUUUCAGCAUCUCCUCGGGAAACAUCUGGAGCUGGGGAAAGUGGGACCCAUCGGUGCCACCCGGAGAGGGCUGUCCUUGGUCAUCUUCAUCUCUCAUCCAUCAUUUUUUUACUGAAAUUGAAUCCUUCUGAACUUACAUUGCCUUAAAAGGUUUACCUGGCUCGGCAGGUGGCAGGGUUUCACACGGGUUUGGGAUCAUUUUGGCCACUUUUGGAAGGUUUGUGAGCCCUGCACAGGUUGUCAGGCAGGUGGGCCCUGCUCUGCUCUCUGGGCACGGAGCCCUAAAAAACCCCUCUUGAUUUCCACAGGUCAGGAGAGGGAAAAGGGUCAGAACAGCCCUAGAUCAUGUUUCUGAAGUCUGUAAGUGCAAUAAUCCUAAUCAUUAGCAGUUUCUGUAACAACACAGGUUACAGACACGGGACCAAACACCUGCAGGGAACCUCCUCAGGCGAAAUUCUCCUCGGCUUCAAUCACGUUUUUCCGGAGAAGAGACCUCUGGCUGCGCUCAGGGCCAUCCGCCUGUUCCUGGCUGAAGAGGCUCUUCUAAUCUACUGCUAAGAGACUUAUUAGCAAUGUAAAAAGGAACGUGAAGCAAGGAGAGUGUUCUUCCUAGCAGAAAUAUGUUUUGUAAAAUUAGAUUUGCUGACAGAAGUAAUUGGGCUGACUCCUCAUGACUAUGGAUGCUGUUUGUUGCCCUUAUCUUACCAAAGCAAAGGGUACCAAAUACUUCGAACUUUGUAAAUAAUUGUUUCCAAAGUGUUUUCUUUUUUUUUUUCUCUCUCUAUAAAUUCUUUAGAGAAAAGCUGGUUUGCUGGUUUCUAAUCCUUUCUCUUCCAAAGCUUCUGAAGCUCAGCCCCUUCCCACUCUAGAUAUCUUUUAUUUUCCCUCUUCGGAUUUUAAUAUUUGUUAGAUUACAAAAAUCACUUUUAAGGGGAAAUGCAGAGCUUUUGCUCAGAUUGGAAAAGUCGUUCUUAGAGCUUUAACAAAGUGGUGAAAGAGAGAAAAUUAUCAAAUAGAAGAACUUUAUGCCAGACUCUGGCAGAUGUUCUGUGGUGUGGAGAUGUGUGUCCAAAGCCUGACCAGUGCCCAGAGUGGGGUCCUGUCCAUUGGUCUGGCUGUUUUUUGUCCCUCCAGAUUCCUGCCCAGUGAAAGGAUUAGCCCUUUGCUGGUUCUUUAUUCCUUCUAGGAUGAAUCAGAGCCAGGACUUACUCUUCCCUACCCCACCAGGGCUCGCUGUCUCCUCCGGUGCCAAACAGAGGGGCACUCUUUGCUUGCUAACAGCAUUAUUUCUUAGUUUUAUUCCACUUUUUCACCCACAGCAACAAAUAUUAAUGCAGAAACAGGACACAAAAUGUCCCAGAGUGUGGGACAGUUUGUGUCCCGGAGUGUGUGCUAUUAAAGUAAGGUCAGAGCCUGCAGGAAAUCCACAUUUUUUGCAUAAAGCCAGGCAGACUCACGGAUGUGGGAAAACUGAAAUGCUGGAAAAGCAACGUGUCUUUCUCAAUCAUCCUUGCAAGUUGAACACGAUUUUUUUUCCAUUGUCUAUCUGCUAUCUAUCUAUUUCUGUACUCGUUUUGGCAAAAGACACAAAUAAUGAGAAAUAUCUGUCUGUAAUGGACAGUUACCCCCUGUGGGGUCUCGCAGGUGACAUGGGUGGGUGAGUUCUGGGCAGAGCUGCAAGACCAGAGAAAUAAAUGACAGCUGCCUGUGCUCAUGUUGCCAUUGGAGCAUGGGUGGGGGUUAAAUCCUGGUCUCCAACCUCAGGCAGCAACAUAAAGCAGGGAGCAGAAAAGCCCAGGAACCCGAGGUAACUUCUGGAGUCGCAGGAGCUUCAGAGCAGAUCCCAAAGGAAGGAUCCUUGUUGAGCUGCCUUGUGUCAGUCUCAAACCCAGCACAAAAAUCCCAUGGGGUGUCUGGUCCAGGUCCAGCUGCUGUUGAGGAAUGUUGAUGUGUUCAUGCCAUGCUGCCAUUCCCCAGCUGUUGUCCAAUCCAACAGGGGGGAAAGGUAGUUCCUGGGAAAGGCAGCUGUGACAUUUACUUCUUGAGUCUUCAAAUCGUAACAAACAUCUUCCUUGGUAGCAGAAGGCUCCACCAAGACUGAUCUUCUCUCCUUCUCCAAAGCCAGAGGUUUCAGGUCUUGGAUGCCACCAGCAGAUCAGGUGCUUGGCUGAUGAUUUGUUCCCUGCCCCAGGUGAGCUGGGAAGGAAUUUAGAAUCACAGAAUCAUAGAAUCAUGAAGGUUGGAAAGGACCCUUAAGAUCAUUGGGUCCAACCGUCAGCCAGUGCCACCCACAUGUUCACCACCAAACCAUGUCCCCAGGGGUCACAUCCACACAGUUUUUGAACACUUCCAGGGAUGGUGAUUCCACUACUGCCCUGGGCAGCCUGUACCAGGCCUUGACAACCCUUUCUGUGAUGAAAUUUCCCCUAAUGUACAAUCUAAACCUCCCCUGGUCAGCUUGAGGCCAUUUUAUCUCAUCCUGUCACUUGUUAUCUGGGAGAAGGGACCGACCCCCAGCUAAAUACACCCUCCUGUCAGGGAGUUGCAGAGAGUGAGAAGGCCCCCCCCGAGCCUCCUUUUCCCCAGGCUGAGCCUCUCCAGCUCCCUCAACUGCUCCUGCUGCUCCAGCCCCUUCCCCAGCUCCGUUCCCUUCCCUGGGCACGUUCCAACCCCUCGAAGUCAUCCUUGUCGUGAGGAGCCCAACACCGAACACAGGAUUUGAGGCGUGGCUGGGAUUUUUUUUCCCCUUAAAAAAACACCAAAAACCUAAAUAAAUCCAUGAUUUUUUUACGGAGGCACCUUCCAGCAGAGCCCAAAUGGGAAUGUUUGUGUUCCAUACCAUCCGUCAACGCCGCGGGAGCGGCUCCUCCAGCUCCUCUUUGGUGGCCAGAAGGAGCUGUCAGGGAGCCGCUCGGCCGCGGCGCCGGGCGGGGUGGGAGCCGUGCUGGCACGGAUCCCUCUGCACAGGGGAUUUCUGCUCUGACAAUUUUUGGCUCCUUUAGGUUACUUCGGAGCUGCACGGAAUUUUUAAUGCUCUGCACUCUCGCAGGGGCUGACAGCGAACUUAAAUACAGAUUGCAAAGAUAGAUCAUCUCCCAGCACCACUUUGUUUGCUGCUGCUCUAAAAUCAUUUUACUUGUUCCUGCAGCUCCUAUAAAGCCAGAAGAGCUCUCUAUAUUUGCUUCCCGGAUGCCUUUUUCUCCUCUGCUCGCGACUAUAAAAGCAGCUUUUCAUGCUCCAAAUCAGAGAUAAAUUGAAAUCGCUGCCGAAGAAAUAAAACACAAGGCUAAUCAAAUUGUGGCACAGGAAACAGCCUUCAGCCAGUGCAUUUUUUUGAGAGCUAUUUUUAGCCUAUAUUUUUAUUUUGUCACUCCAUAUGGGAAGUCAAACCCAUAUGGUUUGGGAGAAUGGAAGGUUGUGCUUUUACAGAGAUCUUGCAAACCAUCCCUGCCCGGCCUUGUCCUUAAACAGGGGCUUAAAUCCAAUUGUCUGCCGUGGGACUGGAGCACUUAAAUGCUCAGGCCCUGCCCGAGGUUGUAACAGCACGAUUCCCUCCUGAGGUGUAAAACUAUUCUACAUUCGUUAAACCAGUCUCCAGUUAACUUGGCUCUUCUUAAUUAGGGCUUUUCUCAUCCGUACACCUUCCUUUUUUCCUUUUCCUUUUUAAUUUCUCCAUCAUUCCAAUGCCCUGAUGGAUGGGGUUGGUCCAGUCCCAUCCAGGAUGCAAAGCUGAGCAUCCACAGCCAUCACUCUUUGGAGUAGAUGUUUGUGCCCUCCAAAUGCCCAAAUUAAUGUGAUUUCAGGGAAUAUGACUUUUUUCUGCCCACAACACCGUGGCACCUUCUGAGUAUGUUGAUGAAUAAAUACUUGGCUAGAAAAUGUCCUGCCUUUCUGAUAAACUAAAUGUAUAAAAUUAGAAACAUGUCCUCAGUGUUCAUCCACUAGAAUAUCCACUUUACUUGUGUUAUAGGUUGUUCAUGAUACUGAAUCAAAAAUUAUGUGUUUUCUAAGGAAUUUUGUGGGAUGGUCGAAAACACUGACAGAAAGUUUUUAACCUGGAAACAAUUUUCUCCUUUUUGAAGGGAUAAAGAGCAAUGGAAGUAGGACUGUUCAGUGGAGAAUUCCAUGUGGCAGAAGAAUGGGCAGCAUGGAGAUUUCUGAGAUGGUUUGGACAUCACUUUCAUCAAGUAGAAGAAAUAUUAUACUAAAAUAUUUCAUCAAAACUGAGACCUCAUAUGGAUUAUAUAUUGGAAAAUCCAGAAAACAACCACUGAGGUUUUUUCCCAGAGCAGAGAUCUUGUGUUAGAGGAGACAAUGUUAAAAUAACCAAGCCCCAGAAGGGACUAAAAGGAAAAACCUGAGAUUAGAGCAGAGAGAAAUUAUCAGAAUCUGUAAAAGUGAUUUGAUGAAGCCUUGUUUGUGUUCAAAAUCUGUGCUUGUUUUGAAAUCCAAAGAACUACUGUUAGUUACAUUAUUUUCUCAAAGGAACUUUAUAGCCAGGAAACACCCAACACUUGUAUCCCACUUUUAAAAAAACACUUUAUACCAUUCUGAAAUCCCAAAAGACAGUGAAAACCCUUGGAUUUGUGAUGCUUGGGAUUAUUGGAAUUAAUACAAGUAGUUGGGCUUUCCCCAGGAUGUUAUUCUGGAAUAUUUGAAUAAUAGAACUUCUGGCCCAGGUGUUUGGGGGGUGUGUUAUAUGGGCACAUAUAACUCACAGGAGCACUGCAAGGUGGACUUGUGAUGUCACCGUGAUUCCUGGACAUCCUUUGGCACCCAAGUGACUUUAGAAGGGCUGGAAUUUCAUCCCAGGCCAGGAGCAGCUGAUGGAGGUGAGGUGGAGCAGCUUCAAGUCAGUGAUGUAGAACUGAAAAAAUUGUUUGUCAUAUAACUGAUCUCAUCAGCAGCCCAGGGCACCCAAAUGUCACUUUGGAUUUUCUCCUGAGUUUCCAUUUACAUCAUUAAUAUAUAGAUAAUAUGUUAAGGUAUUAUCUUCAAAAAAAAGGAAAGAAAUAAUUUCUUUAUGAUAUGGGCAAUUUGUAGAAGACGUUCGUGUCAUUUUGCAUUCUAAAUGUGAUUUAUAUUUAUAAAUAAA
Molecule: long non-coding RNA, 8878 nt
Organism: Lepidothrix coronata (blue-crowned manakin)
Lineage: Eukaryota; Metazoa; Chordata; Aves; Passeriformes; Pipridae
Exons: 8
Source: RefSeq, a predicted model, not a curated record